Molecule: non-coding RNA, 5594 nt
Organism: Vicugna pacos (alpaca)
Lineage: Eukaryota; Metazoa; Chordata; Mammalia; Artiodactyla; Camelidae
Source: RefSeq, a predicted model, not a curated record
GGCCGCCGCACGUCGCCCUCCCCGGCAGGCUCAUUUAGAGCCACAACAAAUUCCUUUUAAAGAUAGCCCCGCGCUUAGCUGGAUGUCCUAAAUUCCAGGAAGGAGGGGGUGAGGAACCGCACCAAGUGUCACUGCCGUCCUGAGUUUAGUGUGAGAAGGGAAGCAGGUGGCCAAGGGGGAGGAAUCCCAGCUGUGUGCGGAGCUGGGCCGGUUUUCCACGCCUUGUCAGUUACCUCGUUUCUCAUUGUUGAUGGACAUGUCACAAGAAACUUGUUCUCCGCCACGGACCUAGCUCCUGAGGCCUUGCCACUGCUGCUCAGAAAUCACUUGAGGACGAACAUGAAGCAGGAGAAUAAUUGUGAAGUAGUACAUUCUGUCUCUUGGAAAACGUUAAGGAGUUUGAUACUAGCCUCACCUGCUCCCUCGCUCAGCUGCUCCCUGGCUCGGGGUCAUUACAAAGUAAUCUCAGUAACCGGUCCUCCCAGGCUCGAGGUCCACUCCACCCGUGAGCAAAGUUUUGCACAAAAACGGUGGUAACAAGGGCUAAUGAUGAUGAUUGGCCUGUGCUAGGCAGCAUGCUGAGAGCUUUGGCAGACUUGUUUAAUUCUUAAGAUAGCUGUGUGAGGUGAGCACUAUUACCCUCAUUUUACAGAUAAGGAAACAGAUUCGGAGAAUCGAUGUGUUCUCCCUGGGUGGGAACCAGGCACUACCUGUGGGGGCGGGGAGAUUACUUUGAUCAGGGGACUUUCCAGGCUCACCUCAAGUCAUACCAGGAAGGCAAGAUUUUUCAUUCAUCCCUGCUGUCAACUACAGUAAACCUAGUCCUAGUUAAACAGGGUGGGUGUCAGGGGUCAUGCUUAAUCCUCUAGAGCAAGAGAAACUGCUCUGGAACACCUGAAUUAUUUAAGCCAAUUUUCUCAUUGCCCUGAGUUUGAUACGGUAUCUUAAAAAGUCAUUUAAUGAUUAAAUUUCAUAUAGCCCUUCAUUCCUAGCUCAGGCCAUUGGAUAAUGCCAGACAGAACCUGUUCUCGUUAAACAUGUAGGGAACCUAAAGGAACUGAGUGAGUUCCCGUGUAAGUUAGGAGUGGAGCCAUGUUCAGAAUUAGCUGUUAGCCUAGGUCAAGGUCGGGUGAGUCCUGUUUUUGCUUUUCCUUUUGGUUGUCUUAUCCCUCAUCACUGUCAUCUAGGCAGGAGAGAGCUAGGGAAGGGAAACUGGUCUGUGACUGGUGUCUGGAAAGGGAAAUUCAAAUGAGGACAAGUUCAGGGGGAGGAGGUUAUUCCUGUGUGCAUCAUUACAAUUUUAUGUAAUAGAAACAAGUGAUUUGAAAGCCAGGCGCCCGAUAGAAGUUGAAGGCCAGUUGUGCCCCAUCCCAGCUGGAAGGCCUUAGACCAGCUGUGGAGGGUGAGACCCAGUUUCCUCAUCUGUGAAGUGGCAUCCUUGCCCCUGACAUUCCCCUCUGCUGUCACCUCUGCCUCCUCUAGUCUUCUGCAGGCUGGUGUUUCUCAAAGUUCUCUCCUAGGGCCAGUCUCUUCAACACGCUCUCCUGGAUGAUUUUACCCAGGUCAUGGCCCUUUUUACUGUUUGAAGUCUUUGUCCCUUGCCCAGGUCUCUUUCCUGAGCUCCAGAUCUGUAUACAGAACAUCCCCACAUGGACACCUCAAAUUAAAUGUUCCAAACUGAACUGCUCAUUAUCUGUUUCCCAGGCGCCUAUGACAAAAAGUAGGCCCUGCCUCUGCACAUCCCCACCCAGUUAUUCAAGCCAAAGUCUGGCUAAUUCCCCUUUCCCUGAUUGUGUUGGUUAUACAAUCAAUGAAUGGUCAUCUCCUAGGUCAGGUUGUUAGCUGCCUUCUGGCUACCAGCCCCUAAAACCUCCACCGUGCAGCCGGAACCCCUCCCUUGGUCCUCUUUAGUGGCUCCCAUUGCACUCAAAGUGAAGUAUGGCACGGGUUUCAGAGCCACUCAAGAUCGUGCUCAGAUAGGUCUCUAGCUGCUCCCCUCGAUGUACUCCACCUUUCAGCCAUUCUUAAAUUCUUUCAAUUCUUCUAAUGGUGCCAGAUUCUUUUGUUGUUUCCCUGAGCUUCAGCAGAGGCUGUUCUGAAAAUGCUGCCGCACUGUGUCAUCUCAUCCCCGUGCCCGUUCUCCCGUGCCCGUUCUUCUGACAAAAAGCUCCUACUCUUUCAGUUCUCGUCUGUCACUUCCUCCAGAAAGCUCUGACCUCCACCCAACUCCACGGGUGCACAAAGAACUGUGCUUUCCCAUCACAGUGCCGAUGCACUGUAUCCUGAGUGUCUUUUAACUGUGCUGAAUCUAAGUCCUUCUUUAGGUAGUGGGGGAGUGCAUCAGAAUCACUCAGGGUGCUUUGUCCUCUUGCACCUCAAAACCCCACCCACCCCUCACCAUUCCCAGUCUGCCAUGAGUGUGUGGUAACAAUCAGGACUCAAUGAGCCCGUGCUACUAAUGACGUGCUGUGUCCCUGGGGGUGUUACGGGAAGAAAGGUUGAGAACUGCUGCAGUUCCACAAGGAAGGGGUUGUUCUGUCCCUCGUGCCUGGCCCAGCGGAAGGCACAGAGUAGGAGACAGUCAGGAAUAUGUGUAAGAUUGACUGGAGACGAAAGGCUUAAGUCAAAAUGUACAUUAAGUCCCCAGGACAGAAAAGGCAUGGGGUAAACCUGGACUGUCUUUCCCUCCACUUGCUGAAAUGGAGCGUCGUGCCUGCCAUCCUUGUCAUCCUUUAUCCUGCAGAUCGUUUCUAGGGGGAAGCCAUCUUCAGAAGAGGAACUUUAUUCAGGUUGUCUCUGAAAAAGUGGGACUGAAUCCCGGGAGGAGUCAAGACUGGAGGUGGAAAGGUGUAUUUUAUACUCAUUAUCUCUUCUAAGAGCACCAAGAUUCUGCCCUCAAGAGGUUUAUUUUCAGGAAAAUGACACAGAAAGGUAACUGCAUGGAAGCGAGACUGGGGACAAGGACUCAGGCAGGGAAGCGACUGUAGUAGUUCAAGCAAGUGGUCAAGAAAGCCUGGAACAGUGGUCUUCAAAUUGCGGGUCACAACCUGUACUAAAACCAGUCUCCAUGGAGGAUGCAAAAAUGAAUGGAACACAAUUAUGUCUUCAACAAGGUUGCAAUCCAAGUGGGAGUUAUGAAACAUUACAAUCAGCUACAAUAAAGGACUUCUGAUUUCCCUUAGAAAAAGAAUGAUUCUCAGUCUUUUUCUCUCUGAGGCACAAAUGAUGGAAGAUAAUCACAGUCAUCAUACACUCCCAUGGGAACUAGCUGCACCUCCUACUCAAGAAAGCGUCAGAGAAUUCAAGUCAGCUUGGGAAGCUUGCGCUAAGGAUAACCUUGAACAUGAAUUAAAUGUUUUAAAGCCAGCCAACUCGAGUAUGAGAUACUCUAAUAUUAGUUACAAAUGACUUGUAGAUAUUCACACAACUAAAUCAUCUCAACGCCUUGCUUGGUUGACAGCUGCGAGCCUAGAUGAUGUUCUCACCGGCAAGCGUUACUCCACGUGGGUUAAGUACACACACGACACACUCCCCCGCCAUCUGUAUGCAUCCACCUUCCCAGUCUUAACUAGACAUAGACUCUCACAGUUUUUCAUUUUUUUCUCUGUUUUCUAAACUUUCCUGUUUCAAACUCUAUCAACAAUUACCUACAAUGGCAUAGAAUUUGCUCUUUGAUUUUAUCUGUAAAUAUAUUUAAUCACAACAGAUUUUCACUUUGAAAAUUAGAUUGGUUAUGGAGGGUUCAUUUUGAUUUUUUUUCCCAUGACAUUAACUUCAGGCUAAUAAGUAUUCUAAGCCGGAAAGAGAAAACAAGAAGUAUUUGACAUGUUCAAAGGUAAAAUCCCUUCUCUCAUCUAAAAUCAUGAGGAAGAGGGGAGGGUAUAGUUAGGGGGGAGGGUACAGCUUAAGUGGUAGAGCACAUGCUUAGCAUGCAUGAGGUCCUGGGUUCAAUCCUCGGUACCUCCUCUAAAAAUAAAUAAAUAAGUAAACCUAAUUACCUCCCCACCACCAAAAUAAAAAAAUUUAAAAUCAUGAGAAUUUGCACUCUCCUCACAAUUUUAUCUGUUAAUAGAACAUAUUUGGGUAGACCUACUAUUAACUUUAAAAUACAAGCCAGGAGAAACAAUUGACUGGAGUGUCCAUUAGUCUUUGUUUGUUGAUGUAAUAGCUUACUUCAGAAUGGUUUUCUGGAAAUACAUAUUUAUUAUAUUUUAGUAUAUUUUUGUGGUUGACCACAUUCUUAUCAUUCUGACACAUGUCAAAGUUCAUUUUAGGAUCUCUUUAUUUUUUUAUUCAACAGAUUUUUUGAGUGUCUACUCUCUGUUCUGGUGAUGGAAAUUCAACAAUGAUUAGAAUAGACACAAAUCCUAGCUCAUGUAUAGCAUAGUUCCUAGUCGGGGAAAGAAAGACCGUGAUCAAAUAAGUAAGUGAAACAUAUUGUGUGACAGAUGGCAAUAAGUUCUAUAGAAAAAAGAAAUGCAGAUAAGAGGAGAGAGAGUUCUGGAGUGGAAGUUGCAGUUUUAAAUAAGGUGGACAGGGACCUCUCUGAGAAACUGGCCUUUCAGCAAAGACCUGCAGGAAGUGAGGGAGUGAAUUAUGGGGUUGUUUGAGGGAAGGAGCCUGCCAGGUAGUAGGAACAGCAAGUGCCAAAGCCCUGAGGUGAGCGCCUGCUGGUCUGCCCAGGGAGGAGGAUGUGCCAUUAGGAAGGUAAUGGGGUCUCUUGUGGACAUUUUGAGGGUUUUGCUCUUGAAUGAGAUGGAAAGCUACUGGAGGUUUUUAAACAGAGGAAUGACAAGAUCUUAAUUGUGACUGACUUGAACAUCAGUGGAUGGGAUAAAAUAUGAGUCUGGAGUCACUUUAGUGAUGACUUCUAGAGAGCCAAGGUGUUUCAUGGAGCUGGGCAAAGAUUUAGUGUCUGAGGAUUUUCAUAAUUUUGGUAUUUUUUCGGGAAGUCAGGAAGGAAGGAAGGAAGAGAAAGAAAAGGGGGAGCGGGUAAAAAGGAAGAGAGAAAAAGAAAUCAAGUAUUGUUGAGACACUGAGAGUAGAAACUUUCAUUAUAACCACAGUAUCCAUACUCCUGACAAACCUGGUAAAUUAAAACAAUAUGGGGAAUAUAUAGUGCUCUCAUAGUCACAAUAAAUAGAUGAUAAAUGCUUUGUUUUUGCUCACAACUUUCCUUCAAGCCAGGACAAGCCCUUCUACCCAGUUUGUUAGUUAAACUGUCUGCAAAAUGUCCAGAAAUUAUAUUUGAAAACAUUUCCUUGGCGUCUUGGGAUGUUCAGUUAAUUAAUGUCUUGUAAACUGCUUCAGGAUCCUCAAGAACACAAAACCACCCUAAAAACAAGAGUUUUCGAUUAUUGCAAGGAAGGACAUGACUGGGGGCAUCUGUUUUACCUUUGUAUAUGUUACAAAAUAUACAAAUCUGUAUAUACCAUUGGCGAUAAUUUCUCCCACAUACCAUUAUCAAUAGAAGCUGUUUAAUAGUGACUCGGAGAGCCAAUUCUGAGAAGUAAAAGAAUCAUUUUGGAAACGCUAACAACGGCAUUGGUCUUCAUUAAACUGUGGCCCUGUUUAACUAGCAAAAAAAAAAUUAA